Non-coding RNA from Oryctolagus cuniculus (rabbit), 2789 nucleotides. NCBI's taxonomy places the organism in Eukaryota, Metazoa, Chordata, Mammalia, Lagomorpha, Leporidae. The record is from RefSeq and is a predicted model, not a curated record.
CCCCGCCCGGGGUGACAGGCCGAGCCGCCCCUCUCCGGCUCUAGUAGCUUCCGUGCCGCUGACGCAUGCUGGCGCGCACAGCGGGGCCGGCGCGUCCUACGCUGCGGCCGCGAGCCGGGCCGCCGCUGCCAGACGGUUCCCGGCGCAGGGCAGGGGCGGGGCGCCGCAGGAGGCCGGGGACCCCCGGUAGAGGAGCCCGGAGGAGGCCGGCCUGACGCCCUCCGAGUUGCCAUGGCAUCCUACUACGAGAUUCUAGACGUGCCGCGGAGUGCGUCCGCUGACGACAUCAAGAAGGCGUACCGGCGGAAGGCUCUACAGUGGCACCCAGACAAGAACCCGGAUAAUAAGGAGUUUGCUGAGAAGAAGUUUAAGGAGGUGGCUGAAGCCUACGAAGUGCUCUCUGACAAGCACAAGCGGGAGAUCUACGACCGCUAUGGCCGGGAAGGGCUGGCGGGGGCAGGAACCGGCCCAGCGCGGGCAGAGGCUGGUGCCGGAGGACCUGGCUUCGGCUUCACCUUCCGCAGCCCCGAGGAGGUCUUCCGGGAGUUCUUCGGGAGCGGAGACCCUUUUGCCGAGCUCUUUGAUGACCUGGGCCCCUUUGCGGAGCUUCAGAACCGGAGUUCCCGACACUCCGGCCCCUUCUUUACCUUCUCUUCCUCCUUCCCUGGGCACUCUGAUUUCUCCUCCUCAUCUUUCUCCUUCAGUCCCGGAGCGGGCGCUUUCCGCUCGGUUUCCACGUCUACCACCUUUGUGCAAGGACGCCGCAUCACGACCCGCAGAAUCAUGGAGAACGGGCAGGAGCGAGUGGAAGUGGAGGAGGACGGGCAGCUGAAGUCGGUCACGAUCAACGGUGUCCCCGAUGACCUGGCACUGGGCUUGGAGCUGAGCCGCCGGGAGCAGCAACAGUCCGUCCCCUCCAGGGCCGGGGGCCUGCACGUGCGGCAGACCCCUGCCUCCCACCCCUCCGACAGCGACCUCUCUGAAGAUGAUGAGGACUUGCAGCUUGCCAUGGCCUAUAGCCUGUCUGAGAUGGAGGCAGCUGGGAAGAAACCGGCAGGUGGGCGGGGGGAGCAGCAGCGGCAGGGGCGGCUCAAGGCCCAGCACCAAGAUGCAGGCAGGGCGGGCACCCAGGGGGGCGCGAGGGGUGACGCAGCUGAACGCAGUCCAUCCCCGGAGGACAAAGCCUCUCGCUGCCUCAUCCUCUGAGCCCCGGGCCCUACGCCGCCUGAUUGGGGUCUCGGCCGGGGGUCCGGCUCACUGUUGGGAGAGCCGAGAGGAGCCUGUCUCUGACUCCAGGCUCCCACUACGAGUUUCCCUCCCAAGGUCCUCCUCUCCUGCACUGCAGUGUGGAUUUGGGAUUUGCUGUGCUCAGCCUGGGGCUGAUAGGUCCCUGGGUGACACCCAGGGAGGGGACUUCAGGACAGCGGAAGGGCCUGGGGAACUCAGAGGCCCCGAUCGUCAGAUGGGGAGCUUCUGAGAUUCCUAAUGGCCUGGGGUGGGCCUUCUGCGCCCAGGUCCUCUGCCACCCGUGUCGCUGGUGGUGUUGCCAAAGAAGGAGGGCUCGGCCCUCAGCCCGGCAGCAGUGCCGGCUGAGUGGCCGCCCGCUGUGCUUGUGCAGCCGCAGCCGCAGCCGCAGCCGCUCCUCGGCCCACCGCGCAGUGUCGAGCUCUGACCGUCUCUGUUGCUUCCUUUCUGGUGCUGCUUCUCCUCCCUCCCACUCUGUUCUCCGCAACGCCCUGCGGGCCGCAUCGCUUGCUUUCACUGCCGUCUGGCUAGGACUCCCUUCUCCUUCCUUCCCGGAGAAGGCCUCAGUGUGCCGAGGAAGAUGCUGGGGCCGGUGGGGCCGUGAGAUGUGUUCUGAGCUGGAUGUCCGGGAGCCAGAGUCGCUGCACAGUUCCAACAGGACAGCGCCCUCCCCCAUGUGCUGGGAGGGGACACUCCAUUCCUCUCCCUCGCCCAUGCUGAGUGUAGAGCUGGGGCCUGGGUAGCGGGUGGGCACCGGGAGGAGGCGUCAGUAGUCUUUUAGCCUGUGAACUCUGUUUCCUGGGUGUUAGCUGCUGUCUCUUGGGGACUACAAGUCCCAGAAUGCAACGCGCCCGGCCUCAUUUCUGAUAAAUCACGCUUGGGGGAAGCGGUGUGUGUUUGUGUGUGGAUAUGGAGCUGUGCAUCUUGGGACGUGUAGUUCCAGCCCCGGCCAGCCCGCCGCUGGCUGUGAAAGGGGGAGAUCUUGUCUUUUGAUUUGCCCCUGGCAGGGGUGGCAAGAACGUGGAUGAACGGGGAAUGACGCCCGCAUCAGCUCCCCCGACACCUCUUGCUCAGCUCCGGGGUUGGAGUGGGUAAAGUUGGGCCCUCCAGCCUCUGGGAGAGGUUCUUGUCCUGUGGGUGGCCUGGGGCCCGAGGAACAAGCCAGGGCAAGCAGCGGGACUGGGCUUGCAGGCCUGGGCCCGGGAGCUGAUGCGCGCGGGCUGGCAGAGCCGGGAAGGGAAGGCCGUCCCCAUGGGUGUGUGUGGCCGGGGGGCCUGUGAUGGGAGCUCCGGGCAUGCUGCUGCUUGUAUGGCUUUCUUUGGCCUCUGACCCUGCUGCCCAUUCUUUUCUCGCCAACAUCACAGCAAACCCGCCUCUCCUCCUCCCUGCCUGGAGUGCCCAGUGGCUGGGGAGGGUUGGGGUGGGGAACCGGGGUGCCGCCAACCCUUGUGACCUUGAGCCUCAGAGACCUAUCAAAGCCAGCUGGGCUGAGCUCAGACACAGAGGGAGACACUGGAAAUCAAUAAAGUUGAGUUUUGACAGCU